CAUUGUGAUUAAAAAGAUAAUCAGCUUGAUUUUUGAUAACCAAAGAGUUACCAGGGAUAUCUGAAAAGAAAAGAAAUUCCCAACUAUGAAUUCACACAUGUUAUUUUCUAAUUUAGAUUUUCACACCAAAUAAUAUGUAAUAAGUAAACACGUAUUUUCCAUAUUAUUUCUAUUCUAUUCUUCUGGUGCAGUUUUUCUUAGAAGUGAGGUUUUGUCAUGAAUUGGUGCUACCAUAAGUAGAAUUUUAAAAUUGACUGUCUUCCAAAACAAAAAUAAAAAAGACAGUAAGGUAAUUUUUAAAAAACGGUUUCCUUAGUUCACAGUGAUAUAAUAUUUAUGCUGAGAUUGUUUUAAAUGAACUCUGUGAUAGAAUUGUUGAUUUAUUAAUAUUUGGAUUUGGGUUGAUGUUCCUUUUACAUUUGCUGUAGGAAAUACCCACGACAUGAGGUUUGUAAGCUUUUGUGUUUUUCUCUAUUCUAACCACUCUGCUUGAAAUAUAAUUUUGAAGAUGCUAGUAAAAAAUAUAACAAAUUC
Molecule: long non-coding RNA, 534 nt
Filed under: Pan troglodytes (chimpanzee)
Lineage: Eukaryota; Metazoa; Chordata; Mammalia; Primates; Hominidae
Description: lincRNA
Source: RNAcentral